CCCCGCUGGACCGGUGAUGCCCCGACGAGGAUAAGGGCGCCACGGUCCCCGCUCGGCCUCGUCAGCCCCACCCCCUGCUGCGCAGAUAUUUCCCCUCACCCUCUCUUCCUCAUCGCACUCUCGCUCGCGUCCAGAUCCACCUUGCCGUGCGCCCGCAUCACCAUGGCCGACCUCACCCGCACACCCACUUAGCUCCCCGCUGUACCUGCUUUCUCCAGAAGAACAACCGCCGACUACCUCGUCUACUGGAGCCACCUGUUGGAGUUGAAGCUCUCUGCAUCAACCACGACGAUGUCUUCUUCAUCCUCGUCACCGACCGCUGCCCUGCUGUUGAUUCCCCUAUCUCCGAACCUCCCCAGAGCCACCCGGGCCUCGUCGAGCUCGCCACCGGCCCUCCCCAUGACUACGAGACCGACGUUGCUGCUGCCCAGUUCGACUACGGAGUUGACGACCCCUCCUUCUUGCCAGAGCAACCAGACUACGAGACCGACGCUGCUGCUGUCCAGUUCGACUACGGAGUUGACGACCCCUCCUUCUUGCCAAAGCAACCAGGCAAGCCCCCCCUUUGAUCACCAGAUAUCGCCUAUUCUUCUCUCUACUGCUUGCAUUAGAGUAGUGUAGCAUGUUACUGUUCGGUUACUCCUAUUCUGUUGCAUAGCCUGUCAUUGUUGCUACAGUCGUUGAUACCUUACCCGCAAUCCUAAAUGCUUAGUAUAGGAUGCUAGUUUAUCAUCAUUGGCCCUACAUUUUUGUCAGUCUGCCUUGCUAUACUAUUGGGUCAUGAUGACUUGGGAGGUGAUCACGGGUAUAUCCUAUACAUAUAUACGUACUAUACUGAUGGUGACUAAAGUCGGGUCGGCUCGUUGAGUACCCGCAAGUGAUUCGGAUAUGGGGGCCGAAAGGACAGGUGGCUCCAUCCCAGUAGAGGUGGGCCUGGGUUCCCGACGGCCCCUGACUGUUACUUUGAGGCGGAGCGACAGGGUAGGUUGAGACCACCUAGGCGAGAGGUGGGCCUGGCCCUGGUCGGCGUUCGCGUUUACUUCAUAAUAACACGC
RNAcentral lists this ribosomal RNA (1055 nucleotides) under Triticum aestivum (bread wheat). Its description in RNAcentral is "partial small subunit ribosomal RNA". The record is from RNAcentral. Lineage: Eukaryota; Viridiplantae; Streptophyta; Magnoliopsida; Poales; Poaceae.